GCCGGUGUAGCUCAGUAGGUAGAGCAAAGGAAUCAUAAUCCUUGUGUCAGGUGUUCGAUCCACCUCGCCGGUA
RNAcentral lists this transfer RNA (73 nucleotides) under Fibrobacterota bacterium. Its description in RNAcentral is "Fibrobacteres bacterium (bioreactor metagenome) tRNA-Met". It matches the Rfam family "tRNA". Rfam says of the family: Transfer RNA (tRNA) molecules are approximately 80 nucleotides in length. Their secondary structure includes four short double-helical elements and three loops (D, anti-codon, and T loops). Further hydrogen bonds mediate the characteristic L-shaped molecular structure. tRNAs have two regions of fundamental functional importance: the anti-codon, which is responsible for specific mRNA codon recognition, and the 3' end, to which the tRNAs corresponding amino acid is attached (by aminoacyl-tRNA synthetases). tRNAs cope with the degeneracy of the genetic code in two manners: having more than one tRNA (with a specific anti-codon) for a particular amino acid; and 'wobble' base-pairing, i.e. permitting non-standard base-pairing at the 3rd anti-codon position. Lineage: Bacteria; Pseudomonadati; Fibrobacterota. The record is from RNAcentral.